AACGAACGCUGGCGGCAGGCUUAACACAUGCAAGUCGAGCGCCCCGCAAGGGGAGCGGCGGACGGGUGAGUAACGCGUGGGAACGUACCUUUUGGUUCGGAACAACUCCGGGAAACUGGAGCUAAUACCGGAUAAGCCCUAACGGGGAAAGAUUUAUCGCCGAAAGAUCGGCCCGCGUCUGAUUAGCUAGUUGGUGAGGUAACGGCUCACCAAGGCGACGAUCAGUAGCUGGUCUGAGAGGAUGAUCAGCCACACUGGGGCUGAGACACGGCCCAGACUCCUACGGGAGGCAGCAGUGGGGAAUAUUGGACAAUGGGCGCAAGCCUGAUCCAGCCAUGCCGCGUGAGUGAUGAAGGCCUUAGGGUUGUAAAGCUCUUUUGUCCGGGAAGAUAAUGACUGUACCGGAAGAAUAAGCCCCGGCUAACUUCGUG
This 431-nucleotide ribosomal RNA is filed under the name uncultured bacterium. RNAcentral's name for it is "partial 16S ribosomal RNA". It matches the Rfam family "Bacterial small subunit ribosomal RNA", at positions 29 to 507 of the family's 1533-position model. The record is from RNAcentral.